This 4274-nucleotide long non-coding RNA is filed under the name Triticum aestivum (bread wheat). RNAcentral describes it as "long non-coding RNA (TAES_LNC020908)". Lineage: Eukaryota; Viridiplantae; Streptophyta; Magnoliopsida; Poales; Poaceae. The record is from RNAcentral.
CCGAUUCAGGGGGGCGGGCGGGCAGCCGCGCUGUGGUGGGUGACCGUGGCUUGUGUGCCUCCCUUUGCCAACAACGACAGCAUUUUCGCUAGGUUUUGGCUUUAAUUUGGUUGGAUGUGUCCAGGUGAGGAGAGCACUGGUGGAGGUGAGCAGCCCCGAUCCUAAUCCUUUCAGCUUCAGUCACUUUUCUCUUGGUUUUGCUUCGCCGUGUUCUUCCCGGAUUAUUAAAUUAGUGUUCCGUUUUUACGGAGGCUGUAGGCCAGACAGAUCACGACUGUACGUGCUGCCCGAAGAGGUAAUCCGAUUCUUGUUUGUCUUCUAAGGAAAAAAAUGCAUAUUCUUGUUUGUUUUCUAUCUCCAAAUACGAAUGUAUUUUUAGACAGGGAAUAUUCUAUCUGCUGUCUGUUCUAGUCCAUCAGUCCAUGUUGAGAUGGAGCAGCGCUUGUGUAGAAUUUUUGUGCUCUGUGAUUGGAAGCAUCAAAUGCUCCGUAAUGGCUAAGAUUUUGUCAGGUAGAAGUAAGGUGAUGUAGGGAGAAUAUUUGGUUUGUUGUUUAAAGUGCUUAAGCUCUGGAUCCAUGAUGAAGAUUUGCAGUUUUGUUUUAGUCAGCUGGGCCUAGGGGAAACCAUUCAACUUUUUACAUGUUUCGAAUUUAAUUAACAAGAUUUGUUUGAAUGGGUUUGGAGUUUAGGCUCGUUGUUUCAAGAAAUGCACCUAUGAGGAAUUGAUUUUAGUUAGCUUUUCUGUGGAUAUAAGUAUGUGUUUUCUUAGGACCACUCUAAUUUUUGCACUACGAUGUGGGUUCGCAGCAGGGCAGAGCAGUCAUAUAGUCAUCGGUGUCAUAGGUGUUCAUCGGCGUCAGGUUACGGUGACCAUUGGCAUGCUUCUUGAUGCACUACGAUGUGGGUUCGCAGCAGGGCAGAGCAGUCAUAUAGUCAUCGGUGUCAUAGGUGUUCAUCGGCGUCAGGUUACGGUGACCAUUGGCAUGCUUCUUGAUGCGGUCUGCAUCUCCUCCCACCACGACGGUCGGCAACCAUGUCUUCACCGCCGGAGCCCCUCUCCACCUAUUUAGAUGAGUGUGUGUCAAUUUAUUCUCCCAGGGAAGUACUUGCUCCAAUUUGGUUACAUUUAGUACGGAAUUUAGUUGUCUGGAUUUAGAUAUAUUACGUCCCCAUAUAUGCGGAGGCGAAUCAUUGUGUUUUCGAUUUUGAUCUCAGCCCCAAAUUUAUUUGUUUUGGCCAUAUCUAUGGUACGAGCUUAGUACUUGUUUCGAGCCGAGACGUACGGUGCUGCCCACCUAUCCCUUUCCAUACACUACCAUCAGUGACACCGUCGACUACGACGGUGGAUGCUUUGUUUUCUUGUAAGGAUACCUGCAUCCUCCUCCUCCUCCUCUUCCUUGUACGGAAAUCUAGGUUUACGAGAUUUCAUUUUCAUGUCUCCCUGACUCUCGUCCUCUCAGUUCUUCUGUUGUGUUGUGUUAUGUUAGGUGAUUGUAAAAUUGAGGAAAGGACCUUCACUAUGUACUAGUCCAUUGUAAUGUGCAUUCACUAAAGCUUACUAGCGCAACCUAUUAACAUAUGUACACUUUAGAGCAACUCUAGCAGACCCCGUAAAAUCCCGACCCGCAAAACGUGUUUGCAGUUUGACGAAGAUCUCGUUUGCGGGUCGAAAACGAGCGCGGCCGAUCAGAAACCGUAAAUGAAACUGCAUAAUUUGAAAAACAGUUUUGCACCAUAGUAGUUCAUCACAUACUACAUAUAUUACAUGAUCAAACACUACAAACACUAGUUCAUACUACAUACUACAUACUACAUCAGUACUAGUACUACAGGGGGUGGGGAUCUCACGGCGGCGAGCUCGCGGCCAUGGACGACGCCGUGGAGGAGCUCAAUCCUCCUCGCCGAAGCUGUCGAGGUCGAUGUACUUCUCCCUCUGCUCCUCGCGGAUGCGCCGCCACUCGUCGUCCUUCUCCUUGACAGCGAGGUUGGUCGCGCCCGCCUGCUGGAACACGAGGUCUUCGAGCUCCUCGUGGUGGCGCCGGCGCUCCGCCUCCUCGUGCAAGCUCCGCUCGGCAAUGGCGGCCGCGACCGCGUCGACAUCGGCGACGAAGUCCUCCGGCCCGAUGACUCCGCGGCUCCCGAGCUCCUCGGGCUCCUGCUUGACGGGGACGACCUCGAUCUCCUCCGGCUCCUCCGACCACUCCCUCUUCACGGGGAGAAGGCUGGCCCCGGAAGAGGAGGAGCUUGUAGUGUGGGAAGAUCUUGCCGCGGAGGACGAGCCCAUGGCCGAGGACGGCGUACGGCCGUGCCGACGGUCGUAUUCGUCCGUCUCGCGGAUGCGGAAGCUCGGCGGCGGCGAGAGGUCGCGGUUGGUCCACUUCCUCUCCCCGCGCUUCCUCGCGCCCUCCGACCGGACACGCCGCUCGCACUCAGGGUCGCUGUCGCUGCCAGCUCUGCUCCCGGAGCCGCGUCCGGAGCUCCACAUGUGGCCCCACAUGGCGGCUGGAGGCGGAAGGGGCUCGCCAGCAGCGAGAAAUGUGAGGAGGGGAGUGGGGAAUUGCGGAGCUCGGCGGCAGCGGGGGGAUAGGGUUUCGACCCGCAAACGCACCGCGAACCCGUAGAUAUACUGGUCGGGGCGGGCGGUUUGCGGGCCGCGGUAAAAAAAUUUACGGGCCGGGCGAGUAUACGGGCUCUGUUCUAGCCAGAAAAUUGGACCGAGCCCAUAUACUCGCCGAAAUUUUGCGGGUUUGCGGCUUUUGCGGGAUCUGCUAGAGUUGCUCUUAGCUGUUCAAGCAAAAGUUGUCUACACAAGUGUGGAAAGGACCUUCACUAUAUUGUCUGGUUUUCUUCAUGACUGUUACUGGUACAUAAAUGAAUAAACAUCUAUUUAUCAAUAAAAACAUAAUAAUAGUCAGUUGCAAUGUCAACCAGAAAAUGUAUCAUAAUCUUACAGGCUUUGUAUUCAAAAAUAAUCGCAUUCUUGCUUAAAAAUCAGUAAAUAUGAAAAAGAAACAAGGUUAAAGGCGGAAGCUCCCUCCUUCAACUUUAUGUUAUUACGUAGAAGUGAGUCAUAUGUGUGUGCCUAUGCCAAUCAUUGUACCACGGGAGAGUUCUCAAAAUCAGUAAAUAUGCCCAUCUGCUUGCCUACAAGAAUAUUUAUUCACAUCAUUUCUGUUUUGUGGUUUUCUGAAUUUGCUUCCUUGGAACACGGCGCUAUUAUUAUGUUUUAUGUUGCAGUGUUAUUCAUUAUCUUUAUUUUGUUGUGGAUGACAGUACACCCUGUUUCUUGGAAGCUGAAUCUCAUCUUAUCUGUCAAUCUGAAUUUUAUUAUGGAACAUUUGUAUUGUCCCUGAACGUCCCAACUAGAACGAGGGAAAAAGUAAAACUUUUUCAUCUACUUUCGUGUAUAACUUUGUUAUUUUUAUUUCAUCUUAAUUUGUACUAUCUAAAUAUUACUCCCUUCGUCUCAAAAGUUGAGACACUUAUUUUGAGACGGAGGGAGUAUAUAGCUGAUUCUCUCAGUAUAUUCACCACAUGAUGUUUUGUUGAACAGAAGGGUUCAGAAUGGAAACUAAGUUUCUUCAAGUACGAGCAUGGGUUUCAUGUAAGCAACCGGUUUCGGCGUUCCUCUUUAUAAAUCAUGAAAAGGUAAUUUUAGCAUUUUUGCCAUGUAGCACCGUCUACAAUAAAAAUCUACCAGCAGCGACCAAGGCGAGGUGUAGAACGGGACUAAGAGUACUUGGUCGAGCAUCUUCUGCCAUCGUCGAAAAUAAAGAACUCGGAGGUUUAUAGAAUCCAUUUUAUAAAUCGUCACGCUUGCAUCUUGAUUAUGUAUGGGAUUAUUCUGAGAUAUUGCCUCCAUUAAUUAUGUUAUAGAGAAGGAAUUUAUCUUGUGUUAAAUGGAAGAGGUUGAAGACUAUGGUUGUCUACAAGCAUACUUUGUCCUUUAUCCUGGUAUUGCCUCAUUGACUAUCCCCCCGAGAUGCGUUUGGAUAUGAAGAAACGAAGCAACAUUUGGCCGCACUUCAUCCAAAACCAACUAUUUACUUUGUCCUUUAUCCUAUAAUAAUGUAGAAUCUUGAGAUCAGAGUUAGUCAGCCACCAUGGAGGUUGACGAGAUGACCUUCAGGAUCGUUUAACGGAAAUAAUGUAACAAAAGAAUUUGGAAUAUGCCGUGUAAUUUAAUACAUUUGACCAUCGUUACACAUCUUAAUUCCUACGCUGACGGUACAUUCAAUUGGUGGACCAUGUGUUGGUGAAUGGUGAUACUCUUG